CCUACGGGAGGCUGCAGUGGGGAAUAUUGGGCAAUGGGCGCAAGCCUGACCCAGCAACGCCGCGUGAAGGAAGAAGGCUUUCGGGUUGUAAACUUCUUUUCUCAGGGACGAAGAAAGUGACGGUACCUGAGGAAUAAGCCACGGCUAACUACGUGCCAGCAGCCGCGGUAAUACGGAGGUCGCAAGUGUUAUUCGGAUUUAUUGGGUGUAAAGGGCGUGUAGGCGGGAGCGCAAGUCAGAUGUGAAAACUCAGGGCUCAACCCUGAGCCUGCAGUUGAAACUGUGUUGCUUGAGUGCAGGAGAGGCAAGCGGAAUUCCGUGUGUAGCGGUGAAAUGCGUAGAUAUACGGAGGAACACCAGUGGCGAAGGCGGAUUGCUGGACAGUAACUGACGCUGAGGCGCGAAAGCGUGGGGAGCAAACAGGAUUAGAUACCCGAGUAGUC
RNAcentral lists this ribosomal RNA (443 nucleotides) under uncultured bacterium. RNAcentral describes it as "partial 16S ribosomal RNA". It matches the Rfam family "Bacterial small subunit ribosomal RNA", at positions 338 to 795 of the family's 1533-position model. The record is from RNAcentral.